GCGCCUCCGCUCCCGGAAGCCGCACCAGCCGCCGCCGGGCCCGCCGGUCACCGGUGUGUGAGUCAGGGUCCUGGCAGCAAGCACACUCAAGUGGAUUUGGGAAAGAGCUGGAUGAAGAGACUAUUUACAGAGGUGGAAGAAAAAUCUGAUGCAGCAGAUUCCCUCUGGAUAGAACCACUCAGGAGAGAAGAUGUCACCUUGGAGAGGAGCCAGAAAAGGAGCCAGGAGAAUGG
RNAcentral lists this long non-coding RNA (233 nucleotides) under Sus scrofa (pig). Its description in RNAcentral is "lncRNA (multiple genes)". Lineage: Eukaryota; Metazoa; Chordata; Mammalia; Artiodactyla; Suidae. The record is from RNAcentral.